GCUCCUGGGCCCAGUCUGUGCUGACCCAGCCGUCCUCAGUGUCUGGGGCCCCGGGACAGAGUGUCACCAUCUCCUGCACUGGAAGCAGCUCCAACAUCGGAAGAUACGGUGUGCAGUGGUUCCAGCAGCUCCCGAGAACAGCCCCCAAAACCCUCAUCUAUAGAAAUAGCAAUCGAGCCUCGGGGGUCCCCGACCGAUUCUCUGGGUCCAGAUCCGGCAACUCGGGCUCGCUGACCAUCAGUGGUCUCCAGGCUGAGGACGAGGCCGAAUAUUACUGCUCAGCAUGGGAUAAUAGUCUCAAUGCUCACACAGUGCUCCAGGCCUGUGGGGAA
This is a non-coding RNA of Pteropus alecto (black flying fox), 332 nucleotides long. NCBI's taxonomy places the organism in Eukaryota, Metazoa, Chordata, Mammalia, Chiroptera, Pteropodidae. The record is from the annotation of a RefSeq genome assembly.